UACGAACUGUGCGAACGUUAUUCGGAAUCACUGGGCUUACAGGGUGCGUAGGCGGCUACUCAAGUCAGGUGUGAAAGCCCCCGGCUCAACUGGGGAGGGUCAUUCGAUACUGAUCGACUCGAAGGCAGGAGAGGGUAGUGGAAUUCCCGGUGUAGUGGUGAAAUGCGUAGAUAUCGGGAGGAACACCAGUGGCGAAGGCGACUACCUGGCCUGUUCUUGACGCUGAGGCGCGAAAGCUAGGGGAGCAAACGGG
This 253-nucleotide ribosomal RNA is filed under the name uncultured bacterium. RNAcentral describes it as "partial 16S ribosomal RNA". It matches the Rfam family "Bacterial small subunit ribosomal RNA", at positions 524 to 776 of the family's 1533-position model. The record is from RNAcentral.